Molecule: ribosomal RNA, 825 nt
Filed under: Triticum aestivum (bread wheat)
Lineage: Eukaryota; Viridiplantae; Streptophyta; Magnoliopsida; Poales; Poaceae
Description: partial small subunit ribosomal RNA
Source: RNAcentral
AUGGAGGGGGUGGUGGCGACCGCGGUGACGGGAGCCAUGAGGGCGCUGCUGCCCAAGUUCGCCGAGUUGCUGGCGAGCAAGUACAAGCUGUCCAGCGGCGUGCACAAGCAGAUCGUCUCGUUGCAGAACGAGAUGAGCACCAUGAACGCCCUCCUUGUGAAGCUCUCUCGGGUGGCGGCGCUCGACGAGCAGCAGAGGGACUGGCGUGACAAGGUGCGUGAGCUCUCCUACGACAUGGAGGACUGCGUCGACAUCUUCACCCAUGACCUCAACGGCGGCGACCAUGGCAGCAAGGCCUGGCUUAAGCGCGGGCUCAGAAAGAUCAAGACGCGCCACAAGAUCGCCAGCCGCAUCGAGGAGCUCAAGGCUCGGGCGCUAGAAGUAAGCAGCUGCCACCAUAGGUAUAAGAUUGAUGAGUGCACCCCUUCUCAUGGGGGCAUGGUGGCUAUUGACUCUCGAAUGGAGGCACUCUAUCUAGACGCCAACAACCUCGUAGGCAUAGAUGGCCCGAGGGAGAAGCUCAUCAAGUUGCUCAGUCGGGGGCAGGAGGGUGCAAAUCGCCUUAGAGUGGCGGCCGUUGUUGGAUCUGGUGGUAUGGGCAAGACAACUCUCGCCCACCAAGUUUAUACUAAGAUCAAAAGCCAAUUUGAUUGCAAGGCUUUUGUAACGGUGUCUCAGAAUCCCAGUACAUUCAAGAUUCUGUCAGAUAUAUACCAAGGAUUUCGGGGCUGGGAGUUGCCUCCUUUUCUGAAUGAUGAACACAGACUCAUCUUCUCACUCCGGGAGUACCUCAAAGAUAAAAGGUAUGCUCUGUCUCAUGCUUAA